This 450-nucleotide ribosomal RNA is filed under the name uncultured bacterium. RNAcentral describes it as "partial 16S ribosomal RNA". It matches the Rfam family "Bacterial small subunit ribosomal RNA", at positions 354 to 796 of the family's 1533-position model. The record is from RNAcentral.
GUGAGGAAUAUUGGACAAUGGGCGCAAGCCUGAUCCAGCAAUGCCGCGUGCAGGAAGAAGGCCUUCGGGUUGUAAACUGCUUUUGUACGGAACGAAACGGUCCUGGUUAAUACCUGGGGCUAAUGACGGUACCGUAAGAAUAAGCACCGGCUAACUACGUGCCAGCAGCCGCGGUAAUACGUAGGGUGCGAGCGUUAAUCGGAAUUACUGGGCGUAAAGCGUGCGCAGGCGGUGCUGUAAGACAGGCGUGAAAUCCCCGGGCUCAACCUGGGAAUUGCGCUUGUGACUGCAGUGCUGGAGUACGGCAGAGGGGGAUGGAAUUCCGCGUGUAGCAGUGAAAUGCGUAGAUAUGCGGAGGAACACCGAUGGCGAAGGCAGUCCCCUGGGCCUGUACUGACGCUCAUGCACGAAAGCGUGGGGAGCAAACAGGAUUAGAAACCCCGGUAGUCC